UACGGAGGGUGCAAGCGUUACCCGGAAUCAUUGGGCGUAAAGCGUCCGCAGGCCGUCUGUUAAGUUGGAUGUUAAAUUUUGGAGCCCAACUCUAAAAAUGUAUCCAAAACUGGCAGGCUAGAGCCUCCUAGAGGUACGUGGAAUUCUGUGUGUAGGGGUAAAAUCCGUAGAUAUACAGAGGAACACCAAAAGCGAAGGCAGCGUACUGGAGGAGUGCUGACGCUCAUGGACGAAAGCGUGGGGAGCAAACGGG
Molecule: ribosomal RNA, 253 nt
Filed under: uncultured bacterium
Lineage: Bacteria
Description: partial 16S ribosomal RNA
Rfam family: Bacterial small subunit ribosomal RNA
Source: RNAcentral